AUGAUUUUAAACUUGCCGGUGAGAAGAGGUUAUUUGAUAUUAGCUCACUGUGAAUGGAGAACCCAAGCCUACGAAAAUGCCAAGUUGUUUAAAGAAAAAGUUAAAAGAUGGCAUGACAAAAGGAUACAAAAGCGUGAGUUUAAUGUAGGUGAUUAUGUAUUGCUAUACAACUCUCGUUUAAGAUUUUUUGCAGGAAAGCUUCUCUCUAAAUGGGAAGGUCCUUAUGUUAUCGAGGAGGUCUACCGUUUCGGUGCCAUAAAUAUCAACAACUUCGAAGGCACAAAUCCGAAGGUGGUGAACGGCCAAAGAAACAAACAUUAUAUCUGA
This 327-nucleotide ribosomal RNA is filed under the name Triticum aestivum (bread wheat). RNAcentral describes it as "partial small subunit ribosomal RNA". The record is from RNAcentral. Lineage: Eukaryota; Viridiplantae; Streptophyta; Magnoliopsida; Poales; Poaceae.